Molecule: ribosomal RNA, 433 nt
Filed under: uncultured bacterium
Lineage: Bacteria
Description: partial 16S ribosomal RNA
Rfam family: Bacterial small subunit ribosomal RNA
Source: RNAcentral
AACGAACGCUGGCGGCAUGCCUAACACAUGCAAGUCGAACGAAACCACCGGGUCUUGUGGCGCACGGGUGCGUAAGGCGUGGGAACCUGCACUUAGGUUCGGAAUACCUACCCGAAAGGGGUGCUAAUACCGGAUAAUGUCUUCGGACGAAAGAUUUAUUGCGUUGGGAUGGGCGCGCGUUGGAUUCGCUCGUUGGUAGGGUAAGAGCAUCCUAAGGGGUGGAUGCAUAGCUGGUCUGAGAGGAUGGUUAGCAACACUGGGACUAAGACACGGCCCGGACUCUUACGGGAGGGAGGAGUGGGGAAUAUAGGACAAUGGGCGAAAGGCUGAUCCAGCUAUGCCGGGUAAGUGAUGAUGGCCGGAGAGUAGUAAAGCGCUUUUACCCGUGAUGAUAAUGACGGUACCGGGAGAAUAAGCUCCGGCUAACUCCGUG